GCCAGAGAAUGGGAGAGCUAAGGAGAUAAUCCCAGUUAUAAGAAGGCUGCUCCAGGCUCUGGUCUGUGUUUCUGUGGAUAUUACUGCAUGUGGAGCUAUGGAAUAGAAGCAUUACCAGCAGCAAUGCCUGGUUAAAUGAGCUUUCCCAGCUACAAGGUAGAGGAGCUGCUGUGCACUCUGUACGCCCUCAUGUUGUAAGUGAGCAGGAUUUUAGCUGGAUUUUGCCCUGCCCUUCUGCCUGCACUUGCCUCCUGCUCACCAGCUGGACUCUGACCCACAGCCUGCCUUUCAGCAUCUUCUCUGAGGUACGGGACAGCGUCAUCUCCAGACCCAAAGGGCAGGCUCUGCAGCGUUGAUACUUUCCACACAGUAGUUGUCAACGUGGGCAUCCCUGGUUCUGCUUGCCAUAACCUUCCAGGCCACCAAGGAGAUGUGAGGCUCUGGUCGGGACCUGCCAGCCUCAUGCAAUCAACUGCCACUUGCCAGGACUCGCACCCAGCUUCCUAGGGUAUUGAGCUGCUGCUCGGGAUCCUGACCGCUCCUGGUUCCUCACUGUGCUGUUGGCAGUGGAGAAUCGAUGUCCAUUUUAGGACACUGGGCAGAGCCAAGUCCAUUACCAUCCUCUGUGCCCUUGUCAGACUGGGGGACCAGGCUGGACCCCCCCUCUGAGGGGGUUCUGCGUGACUGAGGGACAGGUUUGGGGCUAUCCCUAGUUGCUCCGGUGGGAAGAGCUGCCUCAUUCCUCCUCUCCGGCUGGAAACUGGAUCACUGCCUGAAGCUGGGGAUGGUGCUGCGUGGACCCACGGCCAGGGCCGGCAGCCUGGUGGCAGAGCACUAGCAGACCCAGAGGACCAUCGCGGGGCUUAGUGCUGUCUGGGGGGCUGCUGGUCUCCCCGCAGCGGCUGCGCUCUGGGGAUGUAGGUGCCAGCUGCAGGAGGGGUGCCGGGAGCGAUGGGCCGGCUGGACGACCACGCCAAGAAGAGGAUCGUGGAGCUGCGCAGGGCUGGGCUCAGCUUCCGCAAGAUCAAGAAGGUGCUGGAGCUGGACGACAUACGGGUGACGCCGCAGGCCGUGUACCUUUUCCUCAAGAGGAAGAGCGUGGAGCCGGGCUCGGCAGCAGCUGGCUGGGAUGGGGACCAGCCCUGGACCCCGCUACAGGGGUGUGAGACUGAGCCACCCAAGCCGUUGGGUGCCCAGCCCCCCGCAAUGUCCAGCGGGGGCCCUGUGGGCAGCCAAGACACCAAGGAGGGCAUCCAGAUCGUUAGCGUGGCCUCGCUCUGCAAGGAUGGCGGACAGCUCGGGGAGGCCCUGCCCGUGGGACCGCCCUCUGGGAACGGUGACGACAGCUCCACAGGCACCCCCUCAGCUUCGGGGGGCCGAGCCACUCCCGCACAGCCCCUGCCCAGCCGAGAGCGUCUGGUCACACCCCCCACCAGGAGCCCAGCCCUGAUGGUGAAGAAGAUGAUUGUGGACAGAGCUCUCCUCCCGCAGAAAAAGGUCAAAGAUGCCAGCACUCAGACUGCCCUGCCAAACCCCCUGAGUCCUGGAAAUCAAAACCUUGCUUGGGGUGGACCAGUGCUUCCCCCGGCUCCCAGCUCCCACGCCAUUGCCGAAAAGCUGGAUGCUGUACAGACAGAGAUCCAGAAGCUGAGCCAGGCCCUGCACGUGGUGCUGGAGAGGCAGUGCCGCCUGGAGCGCCAGCAGGAGCACCAGCAGCGGCUGCAGCAGGAGGUGCUGAUGACGCUGCAGCAGCUCAGCUCCACCGUGAGCCACGGCACUGUGCCAGCAAACCAACCCUGCGCCCCCUUCAGCAGUAUGGCCGAGCCCUCGCCCACCCUGCCAAACUUCAGCCAGUUCAAGAUGGAGCUCAUCUGACCUCACGCGACAUCAGCGUGCUCUAGCAGUGCUGCACUGAUGGCAGGAGGAAGCUGUGAAGAAGAACCACCUCUCAGAGGCUGUGGCAGUUGCCUAAGGAUUAUGUGGGGCACCCGGCAGAGAAGGUCACUGAUGCCUCAUGUUUUCAGCCCUGAUGACUGAAAGGAGCUGCCAGGUACAAGAGGCAGGGCAAUGGAAAGCUGAAGCCUUGCUUCUCCUGUGCUGCCCAUCCCAGCUGGUGCUGGACCUGGCUGGUGGCCCACGGACUUCAGGAGCGCAGGUAGGCUGCCUGCAAGUAGAAGAUGCAACUAGGAGAGACACAGCAGGGGGGUGGGUCUCAAAGAAAAUGCGAGGCUUCCUGUCAUGAGGGUCAGUGCUGUGAUGAUGAAUCACAGAAAUGCUUCGUGCCCUCCCUCUGCAAAGCCUUGUUCAGUAAAAAUCUAUAUACACCAUAGUUCAGAAACAGCGUGAGAUCUCUUUCUUCAUUUUACCUACCCAUCGCCCCAGCAGUGAGCAGGCUGGAUCUGUCUUGGGCACUGCCACCAUGCACAGAGCUGUGCAGGGUGCUCAAACCUGUGAGGUGAGACCACCACUCCACACACGAAGGAUGCUGCUGGAGGCCUAGCAUCAGUUGCUGCACUCUUAGGGAUAUAUCACACUUGUGUAGGAAACAAUCUUUUACUGAGCAGAUUCCACCUAGGUCCUCUUCCUCAUCCCAAAUUCUCAGCAGAUCUGGAGUCUGGCACUGCUCCUGCCCACUGUCUGGCCAGAUACAGGAUACUGGCAAGACCGUACAAGUAAGAGUUGCACCUGGGCAUGAGCCGGGUAUUCAUCUCUCCUCUAACCCCUUUUUCUGGGCAGGAUAUCCUCCUGGUUGUGGUCCCCAGCAGGUCUCCCUAGUGCAGGCUGCUGCUGGUGCAGACCUGCUCAAGCAGAGAGGGGCACAAUGCUGAGAACCAACCCCCUUGCCCAGACAAGAAGGGCUCAGAGGAGACUGUUGUACUUUCACUGCAGCAGUGAAGUCCAGAGGGACUCGAAACUAGACUUGCCUGCUGGGUGGAAAGUUCUGCUGGGGGGGGGUGGCCUUGGUUCAUCACCCAGCAGUGAAUUUUGAGAGGAGACAAAGUGUCCUUCCUCUGCAUCAGCCAAGCAGGCUUCUUUCUUUCUGGUCAUCACACUUAGCACAAGCUUAGCCUAGAAGAAGUCCCUAGCCUGUUUCUUGAAACUCCUUGAGUCUGAGGUAAAAAUUUUGAAGUGUAAAAACAAUUCAGGUAUUUGUAUACACACACACAGAGCUGUAUACACACACAUGCAUAUAUACACUUGGGCAUUCUGCAGGUUCUUGCAGCUAUCCUGGUGGGUGGAGGAGCUGGACAACAAAUCUGACCCCCAUAGACGUACAUGCCUGGCCCCAGUGCUGUUAGACCCUGCCGCUGUGUCCAGAAGCAUUAGAAGUCUGCUGCAAUCUCCCCGCGGUCAUUCAUUUCGAUGUUGGUGUAAUUUUGGGGAUGUCUGAAAAGCAACAGACACAGAAAAAUGCAAGAUCAGUCGCUUUGCUCUUUUGCACAAGCCAGUUAAUCUGUAUCUCAGCUUUGCACUUUAAAUGAAGAGGCUGGAUGACCAGCCUUCAGCAGGCACAGAGUUUCCUAAGGUCUCUGUUAGUGUUGUGAGGAAAACCAGGAGCAGAACACCUGCCAUCACCUGGCACAUGUACAUCAACUUAAAAUCACCCUGGAUUCUGGAAGAGCUUCCCUAAAUCUGACUUACUUUUAAAAAUUCCUUUAAAAAAAUAGAUACUGAGUUUUGUGUUCCCCAAAUGUAUUUUAAGAACUUCCCUCAUUUCUAAUUCUUGCCGAUCCAAUGAUGAAAGAAGAUCAGUAAAAAUUAAUGGAAAUAAAUCACCUGGGCUGGUUAAAUAACCCAUCCACUGUAACAUUUAUUUCAGAGAAACAUACAGCCUGAGUGUUAAGCUGCUGUUUGCCUGCUGACAACAUCAGGGAAUGCCAAGUAAUUAUUUAAAGCGGUGUCAUGUUAUAAUAUGAAAACUGUUUCCCAUCAAGCUAAACUCUCCAUUGCUUCCACCCUGCUCUAUGGAAGAGCUCUUCCCCGUGGCCAAAGCAUCAUAUCUCACUGCCCCUUGUGUGCCAUGAGCCUUCAGCUUUCUGCUGUCCCACCACAGCAUGUUGUAAGUAAAACUGAUGGCCUUUACACUGUGCCCACUGACAUGCCUAGGAUUAGCCAUGGUUUUAUUUGUGAUUAUCAUAACCUCCUGCAGAACCUGCAGUCUGCUGCAUCAAAAGCAAAGGGGCUUUGCUGCAAACAUUAGAAGCAACAUAUUGGAGUGUUUGGAUGUAGCAUCUGAGGUAGGUGUUCACCCAAGUGAAGGAGCAGGUCCCUGCACAGAGUUUAGAGAGGAAGCACUGGGGAAGGAGAGGGUGAGAGAUGCAAGGCAGAUGGGAAAGUGGUUUCUCACCUUUUGAUGAAGUAAAAUGCCAGGCUGACCACGAAGAACAUGAGCAGGACAGAUCCCAUGACAAACAGGGCAAUUUCCCAGCCCUGGAAGGAAGCUGAGGGUUCAAAGGCAGAGAUGGAACACUGUAGCCAUGACCUUUCCCUAGCACAGCGUACCACCAGGAGGCCAUAGAAUCACAGUCACAGAAUGGGUUGGGUUGGGCUGGCCUGGGUUGGGUUGGAAG
Accipiter nisus (Eurasian sparrowhawk) is the source of this 4571-nucleotide long non-coding RNA. The record is from Ensembl. Lineage: Eukaryota; Metazoa; Chordata; Aves; Accipitriformes; Accipitridae.